Molecule: ribosomal RNA, 491 nt
Filed under: bacterium E-1-0-3G
Lineage: Bacteria
Description: bacterial SSU rRNA
Rfam family: Bacterial small subunit ribosomal RNA
Source: RNAcentral
UGGACGUUACUCGCAGGAAUAAGCACCGGCUAACUCUGUGCCAGCAGCCGCGGUAAUACAGAGGGUGCAAGCGUUAAUCGGAUUUACUGGGCGUAAAGCGCGCGUAGGUGGCCAAUUAAGUCAAAUGUGAAAUCCCCGAGCUUAACUUGGGAAUUGCAUUGCGAUACUGGUUGGCUAGAGUAUGGGAGAGGAUGGUAGAAUUCCAGGUGUAGCGGUGAAAUGCGUAGAGAUCUGGAGGAAUACCGAUGGCGAAGGCAGCCAUCUGGCCUAAUACUGACACUGAGGUGCGAAAGCAUGGGGAGCAAACAGGAUUAGAUACCCUGGUAGUCCAUGCCGUAAACGAUGUCUACUAGCCGUUGGGGCCUUUGAGGCUUUAGUGGCGCAGCUAACGCGAUAAGUAGACCGCCUGGGGAGUACGGUCGCAAGACUANAACUCAAAUGAAUNGACNGGGGCCCGCACAAGCGGUGGAGCAUGUGGUUUAAUUCGAUGC